RNAcentral lists this ribosomal RNA (252 nucleotides) under uncultured bacterium. Its description in RNAcentral is "partial 16S ribosomal RNA". It matches the Rfam family "Archaeal small subunit ribosomal RNA", at positions 474 to 727 of the family's 1478-position model. The record is from RNAcentral.
UACCAGCACCCCGAGUGGUCGGGACGAUUAUUGGGCCUAAAGCAUCCGUAGCGGUCCUACAAGUCUUCCGUUAAAUCCACCUGCUUAACAGAUGGGCUGCGGAAGAUACUAUAGGGCUAGGAGGCGGGAGAGGCAAGCGGUACUCAGUGGGUAGGGGUAAAAUCCUCUGAUCCAUUGAAGACCACCAGUGGCGAAGGCGGCUUGCCAGAACGCGCUCGACGGUGAGGGAUGAAAGCUGGGGGAGCAAACCGG